Molecule: long non-coding RNA, 653 nt
Organism: Mastomys coucha (southern multimammate mouse)
Lineage: Eukaryota; Metazoa; Chordata; Mammalia; Rodentia; Muridae
Exons: 4
Source: RefSeq, a predicted model, not a curated record
AGAACAGAUGUAAUUUUCAGCAUCAUGCCUGUCUGCUUGCUGCCACACUCCUCAUGAUGACUAUCAUGAAUUCACCCUCAGAAACUCUAAGGCCCACUAAACUCUUUUCUUCUGUAUGAAUACAGAGGCUGAGCAUGUUCUAUUUGAAAGUACACAGACCUAGGCAAAUGAUGAACAAGAAGAGCAUGACUAGUGGAUAUAGAAGGGAAUCUGUACUCAAGUUAUUUUUUAAAAAGAAAGACAAAGCCCUACUAUUAAAAACGCCAGUUUUCAUAACUUCUACUGCCUAAGUUUCACUAUUUCUCAGGAAAGAAUGGAAGAUAAUAUGAGAUUUUAAUGAGCUAUUUCCAGAGUCACUAAGGGAAAACAAGACCACCACAGAAAUGCACACCUGGAGGAGAAGGCCUUUCUCCUAAUAUGCCUGAGCCUCACCUGAUGUCCAUGGAUGAUCCUGGAUCUCAAGGAGUCAUGUGGUUUUCCUAAGGUAACCAAGGAAACUGAUAUCAUUCUACACUGACUGUUGGAGUGGAAGAAGUGGCAGCUGAACAAUGCCUGCAGUUGAGUUUUCAACCCUUGUAGAUCUGAAUAGAUCCUCUAAAUCCUAAUCCAGAUAAUAUAAAAGUCAAUAAUGAAACAAGUUUCUUUUGCACCUA